AACGAACGCUGGCGGCAUGCCUAACACAUGCAAGUCGAACGAGACCUUCGGGUCUAGUGGCGCACGGGUGCGUAACGCGUGGGAACCUGCCCUUAGGUUCGGAAUAACUCCCCGAAAGGGUGCUAAUACCGGAUAAUGUCUUCGGACCAAAGAUUUAUCGCCUUUGGAUGGGCCCGCGUUGGAUUAGCUAGUUGGUAGGGUAAAAGCCUACCAAGGCGACGAUCCAUAGCUGGUCUGAGAGGAUGAUCAGCCACACUGGGACUGAGACACGGCCCAGACUCCUACGGGAGGCAGCAGUGGGGAAUAUUGGACAAUGGGCGAAAGCCUGAUCCAGCAAUGCCGCGUGAGUGAUGAAGGCCUUAGGGUUGUAAAGCUCUUUUACCCGGGAUGAUAAUGACAGUACCGGGAGAAUAAGCGCCGGCUAACUCCGUG
RNAcentral lists this ribosomal RNA (432 nucleotides) under uncultured bacterium. Its description in RNAcentral is "partial 16S ribosomal RNA". It matches the Rfam family "Bacterial small subunit ribosomal RNA", at positions 29 to 507 of the family's 1533-position model. The record is from RNAcentral.